Molecule: non-coding RNA, 45 nt
Organism: Schistosoma rodhaini
Lineage: Eukaryota; Metazoa; Platyhelminthes; Trematoda; Strigeidida; Schistosomatidae
Source: Rfam
AUCCAGCGGACGAGUCUCGAAUAGGACGAAAUGCUCGUCCUGGAU